GCCCAUGGAUAGUUUAGCUAGUAGAGCAUCAGACUUUUAAUCUGAGGGUCCAGGGUUCAAGUCCCUGUUCAGGCA
RNAcentral lists this transfer RNA (75 nucleotides) under Loxodonta africana (African savanna elephant). Its description in RNAcentral is "tRNA-Lys (TTT) (tRNA-Lys-TTT-23-1)". It matches the Rfam family "tRNA". Rfam says of the family: Transfer RNA (tRNA) molecules are approximately 80 nucleotides in length. Their secondary structure includes four short double-helical elements and three loops (D, anti-codon, and T loops). Further hydrogen bonds mediate the characteristic L-shaped molecular structure. tRNAs have two regions of fundamental functional importance: the anti-codon, which is responsible for specific mRNA codon recognition, and the 3' end, to which the tRNAs corresponding amino acid is attached (by aminoacyl-tRNA synthetases). tRNAs cope with the degeneracy of the genetic code in two manners: having more than one tRNA (with a specific anti-codon) for a particular amino acid; and 'wobble' base-pairing, i.e. permitting non-standard base-pairing at the 3rd anti-codon position. The record is from RNAcentral. Lineage: Eukaryota; Metazoa; Chordata; Mammalia; Proboscidea; Elephantidae.